Molecule: non-coding RNA, 1892 nt
Organism: Lepisosteus oculatus (spotted gar)
Lineage: Eukaryota; Metazoa; Chordata; Actinopteri; Semionotiformes; Lepisosteidae
Source: RefSeq, a predicted model, not a curated record
CAGUUGCAGGUUGCAGGUUUUAUUUGAUCAGUUCCAAUCGCAGACGAGCCAUCAAGUUCAUUUCAGAGCGAAGCAGUGUAAGGAGCGUGGCAGCCUGCGCAGAAAACAAGUCCAUUUGGAAACCUACAGCUCUGGACAGGAAACAGAUAAGUUUACAAAAAAGACCUUCUAGAGACAUUUUCAGCCCCGAAGAGACCUGACUGAGAGGUCCUUUCAUGCUACUGUACAAUGGCAAUGGUAAUCUGAACCGGCAAUGAGAUUUUUCAUCAGCCUAGAGGUGAUAAAUAUUCUCCUUUUGAGUUGUUUUGCAUCAGUGACCACCAGCCAGGCUGUCAAGGUGGUAUUGCUUGGGCAAACUGCCAGUCUCCCUUGUCUUUUUGCUCAACGAUCCCAGAAUGAUUUGACAGCCACUUGGACCAAGAAGGGCAGGACUCAGCUAUCAGAUAAGAGUCUCUUUGUCUUCCAUGCUGGAAAACGCAUGCCAGACCAUCAUACAGAGGAGUACAGAGACAGGAUCUUCAUAAAUCAAACUGGAUUGAGUGAUGGCAAUGCUACGCUCUUCCUGAAAAACAUAAGCAUCUCGGAUGAAGGGGUGUAUGAAUGUUUCGUGUUUAUGAACCCUGAAAAGCACAAUUCAACCUUAAAGCUCGAAGUGGCUGAUCUCCAUGGCUGUAACUUGUUGAUCCAAAUACGUUUCAGUGGAAGAUCCCAACACCCACCAAAGAUCCAAAGAAAGAUCCAAAGAAAAAACCUGGCUUCAGCCUUGCUUUUUGUGAAUCAUGCCCCCUCUCCAGAACUUUGUUCUCAAAGCCACAGAUCUCCUGUCAGCAGUCCCCCAGCUCACAGAAAGAUGAGAAGAUGGAAGAAUGGAUUCUGAGCUGUGUCUCAGAGAAUGGCUAUCCUGAGGGGAGACUGCUGUGGGACCUGGAGGAUGGAUUGGCCGUCCACAGCAGAAACCAGACCAAUCAGACAAAGGAGACCUGGGGUCUCUACACCCUUCGCAGCCAGCUGGUCAUCAACCACAUGUUUAGCAAGAAUCCCUCCUGUAUCGUCCACAACCAACGAGCCCAGCAGACCAUCUCUUCUGUGGCUGUGUGCAAUGUCUCAGACAAAGCAGCAGUAAACCAAACGCCAGCCAAACCGAGACAUCGACUGGCAAUUGUAGCCUCAGUUCUGGGAUAUCUGUGCUUUCUGCUGCCAGUGGUGAUCCGCAAUCUCACCUAGACGUAAAAUGGGACACUACCCGCUCUUUGGAACUCAUUUCUGAAGCAUUCAUAUGUUACAAGCUUUGCCCAGGGCUUACAAACACCUUGGAACAAUCCUGUUCACCAGGUUCUCCUUGAGGAAGAGAAUGGUGAUAUUCUCCCUGGGGAGAAAAGGCGGAUUGCUGUAAGAAUAAUGGAUUAAUUCACAUGCUCAGACUACUUUUACCAUUGUGUGAAACCUGUCUGGUCAGAAGAAGAUUUGAUCAAAUGCCACCAACAUUCUCUGAUGUUGUACGAUACAGGCCAAUGGCAUUUUCCCCAGGCCUCUUCUUACACGGAGAAAAAGGGAGAUUGCAACUUGCUGUCCAGCAUUUGUGAGCUGCAGCAAUUUAUUGUAUUCCAGAUCAGGUCAUUUCAGAUCUUGAGUUUCCUCUCUUUCACACAGCUUUGAAAAAUUACAUUUGAGGGUAUUUACAUCUAAUGGUUGUUCCAAAGAUGCUACUAACAUUUAAUGAAAAUGUCUAUUACACAUUUGAGCCAGGCCCUUUUGGUUAAUGAUAUUCGAAUCAAAAGAUGUCUGUUAUAGAAAACUGUUGUCUCAUGUUUUUGGCAGCAACGUACUUAUAUACAGUAUUUCAGGUGGUUAGCUGCGUCAGCAUGCGUAGGCUGCAAAGGAACAAGUAAUAG